RNAcentral lists this unclassified non-coding RNA (779 nucleotides) under Hevea brasiliensis (rubber tree). The record is from RNAcentral. Lineage: Eukaryota; Viridiplantae; Streptophyta; Magnoliopsida; Malpighiales; Euphorbiaceae.
AAGGGUGGCACUAAGCUCAGGAUGUGAGGGGGUAUCUGCCAUUAACACCAUCAUGAGUGUAAUGGGAAUCAAUUUGAAAACCUUACGGCCAGAGCCUUGUGUUGAGGGAUACUCAACUCCUGGGGGUUAUUCUUCCAAGGCAGUCCAUCCUAUUGCACUUGGAAAAGUGAUGGCCAUUGCCAAGAUGAUGAAGUCAGAAUUUAAUGAGCAGCAGUACUCACUUUCUGGUAUUGGAGGUGUUGAAACAGGUAGUGAUGCUGCUGAGUUUAUUCUUCUUGGAGCAAAUACAGUUCAGGUCUGCACUGGGGUUAUGAUGCAUGGAUAUGGUCUUGUGAAGAAACUUUGUGAUGAACUGAAGGAUUUUAUGAAAAUGCACAACUUCUUAUCCAUUGGAGAGUUCAGAGGGGCAUCUCUGGAGUAUUUUACGACUCACAUGGAUUUGGUGCGACGGCAGCAAGAAGCAAUUCAACUGAGAAAAGCUGUCAAAAAAGGUUUGCAGUCUGAUAAAGAUUGGACAGGAGAUGGUUUUGUGAACGAGUCUGAAAGCAUGGUUUCUAACUAAAUUGCCCAAGUACAGUAAGCAUUAUCUCUUGUAUGAUUAAAAUAAGUUGGGAUAUUUUACUUAAUUUUCUGUUGAUAGUUCAUCUUGAGCUUGUUCUUACUUUGAAUUGUAUCGAAUUUGGGAACAGCAAUAACUUUUCUGAUGCUUGUCCUUUUAGUUGAUGUAAAGCAAAAAUCUUUCUGCCACAUUAAAAUGGAACACAUUCUCUCUUUUUUUU